This 1346-nucleotide ribosomal RNA is filed under the name uncultured bacterium. Its description in RNAcentral is "partial 16S ribosomal RNA". It matches the Rfam family "Bacterial small subunit ribosomal RNA", at positions 28 to 1381 of the family's 1533-position model. The record is from RNAcentral.
GACGAACGCUGGUGGCGUGCUUAACACAUGCAAGUCGAACGGAAAGGCCCUGCUUUUGUGGGGUGCUCGAGUGGCGAACGGGUGAGUAACACGUGAGUAACCUGCCCUUGACUUUGGGAUAACUUCAGGAAACUGGGGCUAAUACCGGAUAGGAGCUCCUGCUGCAUGGUGGGGGUUGGAAAGUUUCGGCGGUUGGGGAUGGACUCGCGGCUUAUCAGCUUGUUGGUGGGGUAGUGGCUUACCAAGGCUUUGACGGGUAGCCGGCCUGAGAGGGUGACCGGCCACAUUGGGACUGAGAUACGGCCCAGACUCCUACGGGUGGCAGCAGUGGGGAAUAUUGCACAAUGGGCGGAAGCCUGAUGCAGCAACGCCGCGUGCGGGAUGACGGCCUUCGGGUUGUAAACCGCUUUCGCCUGUGACGAAGCGUGAGUGACGGUAAUGGGUAAAGAAGCACCGGCUAACUACGUGCCAGCAGCCGCGGUGAUACGUAGGGUGCGAGCGUUGUCCGGAUUUAUUGGGCGUAAAGGGCUCGUAGGUGGUUGAUCGCGUCGGAAGUGUAAUCUUGGGGCUUAACCCUGAGCGUGCUUUCGAUACGGGUUGACUUGAGGAAGGUAGGGGAGAAUGGAAUUCCUGGUGGAGCGGUGGAAUGCGCAGAUAUCAGGAGGAACACCAGUGGCGAAGGCGGUUCUCUGGGCCUUUCCUGACGCUGAGGAGCGAAAGCGUGGGGAGCGAACAGGCUUAGAUACCCUGGUAGUCCACGCUGUAAACGGUGGGUACUAGGUGUGGGGUCCAUUCCACGGGUUCCGUGCCGUAGCUAACGCUUUAAGUACCCCGCCUGGGGAGUACGGCCGCAAGGCUAAAACUCAAAGGAAUUGACGGGGCCCCGCACAAGCGGCGGAGCAUGCGGAUUAAUUCGAUGCAACGCGUAGAACCUUACCUGGGUUUGACAUGGAUCGGGAGUGCUCAGAGAUGGGUGUGCCUCUUUCGGGGUCGGUUCACAGGUGGUGCAUGGCUGUCGUCAGCUCGUGUCGUGAGAUGUUGGGUUAAGUCCCGCAACGAGCGCAACCCUUGUUCACUGUUGCCAGCACGUUAUGGUGGGGACUCAGUGGAGACCGCCGGGGUCAACUCGGAGGAAGGUGGGGAUGACGUCAAGUCAUCAUGCCCCUUAUGUCCAGGGCUUCACGCAUGCUACAAUGGCUGGUACAGAGAGUGGCGAGCCUGUGAGGGUGAGCGAAUCUCGGAAAGCCGGUCUCAGUUCGGAUUGGGGUCUGCAACUCGACCUCAUGAAGUCGGAGUCGCUAGUAAUCGCAGAUCAGCAACGCUGCGGUGAAUACGUUCCCGGGGCU